UACGUAGGUGGCAAGCGUUGUCCGGAUUUACUGGGCGUAAAGAGCUCGUAGGCGGUCUGUCGCGUCUGCUGUGAAAACUCAGGGCUUAACCCUGAGCUUGCAGUGGGUACGGGCAGACUAGAGUGCGGUAGGGGAGACUGGAAUUCCUGGUGUAGCGGUGAAAUGCGCAGAUAUCGGGAGGAACACCAGUGGCGAAGGCGACUUCCUGGCCUGUUCUUGACGCUGAGGCGCGAAAGCUAGGGGAGCAAACGGG
Molecule: ribosomal RNA, 253 nt
Filed under: uncultured bacterium
Lineage: Bacteria
Description: partial 16S ribosomal RNA
Rfam family: Bacterial small subunit ribosomal RNA
Source: RNAcentral